CUCUGCUCUUGCUUCCCUGCUGCCUGCUUCAGCGUUUCCCUGUCUUGAUGGACUGACUGUCCUAGAACUAUGAGCCGUGGUAAAGCCGUUGCUUUUGUCUGAGUAUUUUUAUCACAGUGAUGGAAAGGCCUGUGAAAGGGGCAUUGAGAAGCGCUGUUCUAGACAGAUGAACACACCGUGGAAGCCUCCGUGUCCCCUGCACAAAUCAGUGGUGCCCACACCAUCCAGAGACCAUGGAUAGGAAGAUGCGGCAUGCAAAGACAAUGGGAAUUUUUUCAGCCAUGAAGAAUAAUGAAGUUCUAUCACUUGCAGGAAAAUGGAUGUGACUAGAGAUACUCAUACAAAGAGAAUAAAGGCUGUCUCAGGAAGAUAGCAUGGGCUUUACUUAUAUGUAGUUCCUUGACCUUAUAUAGAUACACAAAAUCAC
Molecule: long non-coding RNA, 427 nt
Filed under: Mus pahari (shrew mouse)
Lineage: Eukaryota; Metazoa; Chordata; Mammalia; Rodentia; Muridae
Description: lncRNA (MGP_PahariEiJ_G0005898.1)
Source: RNAcentral